Molecule: ribosomal RNA, 406 nt
Filed under: uncultured bacterium
Lineage: Bacteria
Description: partial 16S ribosomal RNA
Rfam family: Bacterial small subunit ribosomal RNA
Source: RNAcentral
AAUGAACGCUGGCGGCAGGCCUAACACAUGCAAGUCGAACGAGUGGCGGACGGGUGAGUAAUGUCUGGGCAACUGCCUGAUGGAGGGGUAUAACUACUGGAAACGGUAGCUAAUACCGCAUACCAUCAGAUGUGCCCAGAUGGGAGUAGCGAGUGGGUGGGGUAACGGCGCACCAAGUCGCCGAUCCCUAGCUGGUCUGAGAGGAUGACCAGCAACACGGGAACUGAGACACGGUCCAGACUCCUAAGGGCGGCAGCAGUGGGGAAUAUUGCACAAUGGGCGCAAGCCUGAUGCAGCCAUGCCGCGUGUAUGAAGAAGGCCUUCGGGUUGUAAAGCACUGUCAGCGGGGAGGCGUUACCCGCAGAAGAAGCAACGGCUAACUCCGUGCCAGCAGCCGCGGUAAUUC